AAAGGAUUGAAACCGCACACUGGCCAUAGGUUAGGGACCACUUAUGCAGAAAUCCCAAAACCAGAUGCUUUAAGAAAUCUCUCUCUUGAUCGAAGAGUCGACGAUUCCACCGGUUUGCACAUAAUCGAUGGAGUACUAUUCUUCUUCACAGUUUCCCCUCUCCUAUUGGGACUAUUUCAUAUUUAUCUUCCUUAGACCCGUUCUUGCCGUCUGUUUUGCCCUCUCCUUACUCUUCAUCGGUUUGUUUCUCUCUCUGUGGCAUAUAUGCGCGUAAAUACGAAUUAGUUUGUAUUAUAUGUAUCUGUAGUUUCUUGAUUGAAAUUGCUAUUAAAUUUUCAUUUACGGAAUUAUCUUGAUACUCCUGGUUUGGGUUUCAUGUAUUAUAACUUCUUGAUAUGGGUUCCUGAACUGUCAUCAAAUCAGUGAUUUUUUUCAAUGUUUCUUAUCUGGAUUGUUGAAUUAUUUACUAGCGAAGUACUUUUAUUGUUAUUUCUUGCUCUGGGUAGUAUAAAUUAGGUCAAAUAUUUACACUGUUGAUGUUUCAUGAUCUAAAAGUAGGGCCUAUUUCUUGUACUUUUUUGGAUGCUUCUUGAUCUGUGUUGCUGAAUAUAUGUUUAAUUUGAUAAGUUUUCCCCUUCCCAUGUGUAGGUUGGUUUUUGGCCUGGAAGCUCGUGCUGGUGCACGUACCUCUGGUUCAAGAGAUUUUUGGUCUGCGGAAAAAAACUUUUAAGCCAAAGCCUGUGAAUCGAGGCCGCUUCACACGAUAUUACAACACUAAAAACGCCCAGAAUUCCUCUUAGUGGUGAAGUUUCAUUCUUUCCAAAUAUGUGAAUUUAUUUAUUUCUGUUGGGCUGAAAUUAUAUCAGAGAGUUAUUUAAUUUCUUUUGUUCCGCUGAGGUGAUAGUCGAUAUACAUUUAUUUUUGCUAUGUGAUACAUGCAACCCUAAAUAUACUAGAUGUAUUUAGAUAGUAUGUAACUCAGGGAGAUGAUAUUACGUAGCAUAUAUAAAAAUAAACACACCAGUUUCACUCCUUUGGUUAAUGUCUAUAGCUGAUGCUAUACAUUUGUUUAAAGUCAGUUGCUGGAUUUUUCCAAUUAGGAGACAGCAUUCUUUUACAUCUACAAUUAUAUGAUUGGUCCUAGUUCAUGAUCAAAACAUUUAAGUGUCAGAAGAUGUGUUCAAUGAAAACCUAUAAUGCGAUGGAGCAGUGUAACAGAUUCAGACCCCAAUCUAUAUUAGUGGAAUCAUGUAGAGGUGACGUGUAAUAAAGAACUAUUCUACUCUUAACAAAGACACCUGUAGAUUGGAAGUAACAAUCAAUUAUUUUUUGGGAAGUGUAAUUGCUCAUUUACAUGGAGGAGUUGUAGCAUAAUUCUUGCAAAAUCACUUUAAAGAUCGGCUUUUGUGUCUCACGAGGACAUUUCUCCUCAACGUAUCAAAGAAUUGAGAUGGUGCUUAAAUAUCUGAUUGGUAUGAAUGGGGGAAUGUAAUCAAUGUUUGUCGAGAAGCUUCGUAUCAUUGUGAAGGAUGCAGUAUGUGGGGAGGGGGAAGUAGAUUACCAGGUGAUGAAUGGUCACAUGAUAAUGGUGAUUUACAACAUGCUUGACUAAGCUCAUAAAGUUUUCUUAUAAGAGAAUAAGUUCUAAAUAAAUAUGUUGUUAUUGAUUAAAGUUGAGAAUAAGCUACUUAUUUCUAUAGUAAGUAGUUGCUUAUUUUUAAAACUUACCCAAAAAUGGACUUAGUUAUUUGGGAAGUUUUUUUUUUUUUUUUUUUAAUGACUGUGGGAGUUCGAGCCAGCUUACGCACACCUCAGCUAAUGCCACGGGGUUCUGAAAUUUACAAUCGAGUAUUUACCUCAGUGACCCUAAGGGGACUUGAACUGGUGACCAUUGGGGAGCAAGGCCAAGGCUUGGACAGUGUGUUGAAUGGUAAUAUGAAGAGAUUAGAUGAUGCAGAUAAUUAGGUUGGUAGCCCUGUAAUUUGAAUGAGAGGGAAUUGGGACCAGGUUGUGUUCAGAACCAACUCAAAUAGUUUGAGUUAAACAUGUCAGACCUAAUUCCCUCACCACUAUACAAGAAUGAUGUGAUAGAGAUCCUUAGAGAUAUUAUCGAAGACUUGCCAUAAACUAGAUAUUCACUUCGUGCUGGAAAAUAAGAAAUAAUUUAGGAAGUUUUUUUGAUUGAUUUUCGUUAUCUCUUUCCAUAGUUAUAAGUUUUGAAUUAUUAGUUUCAUUGUUUUCUUCUCCCCCCAAGAUUCUAUUCUUCUCCCCUCUUCCUUCCCCCUUCUUCUGUUACCAGAAGUAGUCUCUCUCUCUCUUUUUUUUUUUUAAUAAUAAAAAACCGCAUGACAUCAUCCUUCGCCCUUCUCACUUCUUUCCAGUCUUCUGCCCUAUAUUCAGAAGCUUUAUGUACCUUUCUGCAUCAUGAUGUUGAUUGUGUAGCUUAUGACCGUAGGAAUAACCAUUUUGCUACUUAAGGUCGUUGACAAAUAGUGCAUGUUUGGCUAAGCUUAAAAAAUACAUUGUAAGUAACUAAACUUGCUUUAAAUAAAAUGAUUUUUCUUGCUCAAUGUUGGAAAUAAGUUACUUAGUUUGACAAUAACACCCAACAGUACUAGCAAAAUAAGAAAACAACAUUUACCCNNNNNNNNNNNNNNNNNNNNNNNNNNNNNNNNNNNNNNNNNNNNNNNNNNNNNNNNNNNNNNNNNNNNNNNNNNNNNNNNNNNNNNNNNNNNNNNNNNNNNNNNNNNNNNNNNNNNNNNNNNNNNNNNNNNNNNNNNNNNNNNNNNNNNNNNNNNNNNNNNNNNNNNNNNNGUUUAAAAUACAGUCAAUUUUUUCAUCCAACCUUUUCUCCCACAUCAUUUUAUGUAAUCCUUUAUGUAAAAAUAGCAUAAUCCUAACAACAUAUACUAUAAAACUUUCAAGUUUUAGCCAAACAUGGUGGUGGUGUACAUUCAUUACAUGUUUCUUGUGAAAAUUUAAAUUCUCAUCUUAGAGCAUGAUCUAUUGAAUCAAAGAGUAUCGGAGCUUGUUUCAAUGUCUUGUAGUAUAUGAUGUUGCUGUUAUCUUUUGCAUCAUGCAGAAUUUUAGCGAGAAUGCUGCCAUUACAGAAAAUGGUUGCUAUGUUUGAAUCAAUAAAAGAACUAAUAAAGAUCUGUAAUGAGACUUUAUUCCAUUUUUAUCGAGGACUGAUUCUUGAUGAUGCAUCUCUAACAUGUAUGAAGUUAGAGUUCCCUUGAAUUGUCCUGAGGUCGUGAUUUACUUUUGUGGUGCAGAGGAUCAUAAUUAUAGAAGCUUUGGAGAAUCUCACGACUCACAGUCAAGACACUGGGCAAUAUGGUCGAAGAUUGCAAAUUUAGCAGGUUUACUGUACAUAAAGUAGUUGGUAAGUUCAAUUGUUCAACUCGUUCCGAGACAUUUAUCUGUAAAAUAAUUAUGCUGGUUAUAUAUUUCCCAAUCAUAUCCCAGUGUACUGAUUAAAAUCUUCGGUAUUCUUGUGAUUAUUUUUUCCUAAUUUUUCUGUAAUCAAUAAGAACAAAUGUUUGUAAACUGCUAAUAGUUUGAAUGAUAACUUGAUUUUCAUUCUGAUCUUCAACGAGUACUUUUGUUGGACGCUCCUUUUACCAGUCGAGGAAUGAAGUUCAAUAUCAUGGUGUGGCUUUGCUUGCUUUCUUUAUGUGGUUGGAUACG
Molecule: long non-coding RNA, 3690 nt
Filed under: Olea europaea subsp. europaea
Lineage: Eukaryota; Viridiplantae; Streptophyta; Magnoliopsida; Lamiales; Oleaceae
Source: RNAcentral